RNAcentral lists this ribosomal RNA (54 nucleotides) under Fusarium lateritium. Its description in RNAcentral is "partial 28S ribosomal RNA". The record is from RNAcentral. Lineage: Eukaryota; Fungi; Ascomycota; Sordariomycetes; Hypocreales; Nectriaceae.
GCCGUUAAACCCCCAACUUCUGAAUGUUGACCUCGGAUCAGGUAGGAAUACCCG